This 342-nucleotide unclassified non-coding RNA is filed under the name soil metagenome. RNAcentral describes it as "partial contains 5.8S ribosomal RNA, internal transcribed spacer 2, and large subunit ribosomal RNA". The stretch from base 1 to 120 matches the Rfam family "5.8S ribosomal RNA", at positions 35 to 154 of the family's 154-position model. The record is from RNAcentral.
GAUGAAGAACGUAGCGAAAUGCGAUAAGUAAUGCGAAUUGCAGAUUUCAGUGAGUCAUCGAAUCUUUGAACGCACAUUGCGCCCGCCAGUAUUCUGGCGGGCAUGCCUGUUCGAGCGUCAUUUCAACCCUCAAGCCCCCGGGUUUGGUGUUGGGGAUCGGGCUGUACUCCAGCCCGGCCCCGAAAUCUAGUGGCGGUCUCGCUGCAGCCUCCAUUGCGUAGUAGCUAACACCUCGCAACUGGAACGCGGCGCGGCCAAGCCGUUAAACCCCCAACUUCUGAAUGUUGACCUCGGAUCAGGUAGGAAUACCCGCUGAACUUAAGCAUAUCAAUAAGCGGAGGA